CAACCAUCCAGAGCGACCGAGAGACCUGGCUCGAUGACGUCGCAGCAACCCGCCCGUUUCGGGGUGUGGGUGCUUCUGCCGGGAUCGAUGGAGG
Molecule: non-coding RNA, 94 nt
Organism: Nocardia sp. Root136
Lineage: Bacteria; Bacillati; Actinomycetota; Actinomycetes; Mycobacteriales; Nocardiaceae
Source: Rfam